Bubalus bubalis (water buffalo) is the source of this 2467-nucleotide long non-coding RNA. RefSeq lists it as uncharacterized. The record is from RefSeq and is a predicted model, not a curated record. NCBI's taxonomy places the organism in Eukaryota, Metazoa, Chordata, Mammalia, Artiodactyla, Bovidae. The transcript is spliced from 2 exons.
CUUUUGGGAGGCAGCAGCCUGGGAACAUCCACCCCGGGCCAUGUGAAAUCCCACUUUCUCCCCUCAGCAGCAUGACGUCCCUGGAAGGUUGGACACGGUGGGGUCCUGGCUGGGAUAGCACUGAGUCAGGCUCUUCAGGCCAUGAGGGUGCCCCAUUGGCCUGGAGUUUGGGUAGCCCCCGACCCCCAGGGGUCCCUCCCAUGGAUGCCAACACUAAAGAACACUCGCAUGGCACUUCCAAAGCUUACUUUGUGCUUUUACAAACAUCUCUGAUUCUGCCACAUCCCUGGGGGGGCAGGCGCUCUACGGUUUUUCUUGCAGCUCAUGGUUCUGUUGAAUCAUUCCCUGCUGGGUCUAGCAUCUCUCCGUAAGCACAUGCGACUAACAAUUUUUCCACCUUUGGCUUCAGGACAUCUUCACUGUCCACCUCCCUGGGAAGGACAAUGUGAGGGCCAAUGGUUUUCUGCCCUCAAGGGACUUAGUGUCCAUCUGGGGGUUACAACUGGAGGGUUAAUACUGAGGGGGCACCAGAAGCCAGUGUUUGGGUGAGUACUCAACAAAAUGCACAGACCCUGAUGCAAAAUCAGCUCACAGGACAGAGAAAGCACUGGUCUGGAUCAAGCAGGAAGCGACAAAGUACCAGAGGGGGUUGAAUGAUAUCUGACACUUAGUAGAAACACAAGGCUUUUGUGGCGGGCAGGGGCAAGGCUGAUUCUCAUUAUCCGUGGUAGUUAUGUCCUAUAUGGGCUCCCCAGGUGGCGCUAAUGGUAAAGAACCUGCCUGCCAAUGCAGGAGACAUAAGAGAUGCAGGUUCAAUCCCUGGAUCGGGAAGAUCCCCUGGAGGUAGACAUGACAACCGACUCCAGUAUUCUUGCCUGGAGAAUCCCAUGGACAGAGGGAGCCUUGGUCUCUACAGACACUGAAUUAGUUACCUUGGAACCACGGCUCCCAGGGCAAAUACAGGGUGAGGUUCCUCGGAGCCUCCCUUGGGCAAAACAGUGGAGCCACUUGACAUACAUUUUGCUGAAUUUCCUCUUCCUUUUUCUGGAUGUGCCAUAUUGUGGAUUCAUUAACACUGAACCCUGGGUCGGCAGCACCAUAACACACACCUGAAGCAUGCUUAUCAAAUGUGUGCUACACGUAUAUUCUCCUGCGGGCACAUCACAGUCUUCUUGCCCUUAGGAACGCUAGACAGCCCUUCAGCUCUCCACCCAGGAGCAUUUUAAACAAUGAAGUCACCGACAAAAUGCACAAAGUGGCACUAAAGAGACACAGAAAGGAAGCUUGUUUAGCGUCUGAGAGCUGAAACAAGAAGCCAGUGUCACCUUCGUUGGAUCUCAGCUGGGAAUGUGAGCGACUCAAAAUUUUGCCUUUCUGCUCUGACCAUGAACAGCAGAGAAAGCCGCAGAAGUCCUGAGCUGGGGGCUUACAAAUCAGUGUUGGUGGGUAGGCGCGUUGGCAAACGCAGGCUCCGUGAACAACGAGGAUCAGUUGUACUCUGUUACAGAAGGGCUGUGAGGAGAGGCACUCGGUCCCCAUCUGCCAAUUGAAUCUGACUGUAAACACAGGUGAAGGAGGCUCUCAGGUGGGGGAAAUGAAGCAAGGGUGGGAAGCUGGUUCUGGGGUAAUGUGGUGAUGGGAGGGGGCGUGACUAUCGAGGCAGAGGUGGUCAGAUAGGGGGUGGGCCGUGACUAUCAGGACAAGGGAUCAAACUUUAACCAGCAGAUCAGGGAACCUGGCAAGGGCAGGACUGGAAAAGAGCAUAAUUUUAGGACCUUGAAGGAUGGGUCAGGAGAGGAUGCUCUGGACAAAGGCCAUGUGAGGUCAGCACCGGGCCACCCCUGGAUCCUUAGAAUGGCGCUGAGUGGCUGGUCUAGAGUGAGUGAGAAGAGGAAAUAGCUUUGUGGUGUCAGACUCCCAAGUCUCCGUAUCUGUCCAAAAGGAACAAGCCAUCGAGGCAGGCCGAACGCCCAGAGGGCGGCCUUCCCUGACCCCGUCCUCCGUCUCCCUCUUGCAUGCGCCCAGGGCUCCCCAUCACGCAUCACGGUUGUUUACCUGCCUGUCGUCUUUGCUGACAUCCAUUAAAGCCCUUGAGGUGUCCAGACACUUGCACAUGAUAACUCGUGAUGGGCAUGGUCCUCACGUCAGAGGCAGCGCCACUUGGUACACAGACCCCUCCUUAGCCCAGAGCUUAUAACCUCCCUUUUCCGGGGCUUCAAGAGCUUCCAGCCUCUGCGACCUCACGGGUCCCACCCAUGCUCAGAAGGACCUUGCACUUGGUUUAAUGCUCUGCUGUGGCCGUCUUGAAAAUUCUUAAUUUUGAAGCAAGGGGCCCCAUCUUCCUAUCGCACUGGGCACCUCAGAUUCCACAGCCAGUACCGCCCCUGACUCCCCCAUCUCCUCUCCCACAAGUCAGUGCAAGCGGCCUCCACUUUGUUGAAAACUUUCCAUCCCAGAUUAACAUGUA